CUUUGCCAACCCCGCCCAUUCCAA
RNAcentral lists this microRNA (24 nucleotides) under Prunus persica (peach). RNAcentral's name for it is "microRNA miRNA_203". The record is from RNAcentral. Lineage: Eukaryota; Viridiplantae; Streptophyta; Magnoliopsida; Rosales; Rosaceae.